UCCAGCGUGAUGUAGUGGUUUGCAUGUUGGACUAGGACACUGGGAAACCAGGGUUCAAAUCCCUGCUCAGCUG
This is a non-coding RNA of Phrynosoma platyrhinos (Desert horned lizard), 73 nucleotides long. The record is from the annotation of a GenBank genome assembly. Lineage: Eukaryota; Metazoa; Chordata; Lepidosauria; Squamata; Phrynosomatidae.